AGCUUUGCACAGUGGUAGUAUCAUAGCCAAUGAGGUUUAUCCAAGGCAAGAUUUUUGCUAACUGAAAAAGUUUUAUUAAAGAC
This 83-nucleotide small nuclear RNA is filed under the name Sorex araneus (European shrew). Its description in RNAcentral is "U4 spliceosomal RNA (ENSSARG00000017924.1)". It matches the Rfam family "U4 spliceosomal RNA", at positions 1 to 83 of the family's 138-position model. Rfam says of the family: U4 small nuclear RNA (U4 snRNA) is a component of the major U2-dependent spliceosome. The record is from RNAcentral. Lineage: Eukaryota; Metazoa; Chordata; Mammalia; Eulipotyphla; Soricidae.